CCUACGGGAGGCAGCAGUAGGGAAUAUUGGGCAAUGGGCGGAAGCCUGACCCAGCCAUGCCGCGUGCAGGAAGAAGGCGUUAUGCGUUGUAAACUGCUUUUUUAUAGGAAGAAGGAUCCCUUGCGAGGGAAGGUGACGGUACUAUAAGAAUAAGCACCGGCUAACUCCGUGCCAGCAGCCGCGGUAAUACGGAGGGUGCAAGCGUUGUCCGGAUUUAUUGGGUUUAAAGGGUGCGUAGGCGGUUUAUUAAGUCAGUGGUGAAAGACGGUCGCUCAACGAUUGCAGUGCCAUUGAUACUGGUAGACUUGAGUGAGAUUGAGGUAGCUGGAAUGGAUAGUGUAGCGGUGAAAUGCAUAGAUAUUAUCCAGAACACCGAUUGCGAAGGCAGGUUACUAAGUCUUAACUGACGCUGAGGCACGAAAGUGUGGGGAUCAAACAGGAUUAGAUACCCUGGUAGUCCACACUGUAAACGAUGAUGACUAACUGUUGGCAUUAGUGUUCUAGUGGUACGAGAGAAGUACGUUAAGUUACAUACCACCCGUCGGGGUAGGUACGGCCCGGGCCGAACCGGUACGGAAACGUACGAAACGUAAGUUAGUAGGUACGGUGUAGACGACGACGACGACGGACGACCGACGGGAGGGAGGGAGG
This 651-nucleotide ribosomal RNA is filed under the name uncultured bacterium. RNAcentral describes it as "bacterial SSU rRNA". The stretch from base 1 to 536 matches the Rfam family "Bacterial small subunit ribosomal RNA", at positions 338 to 873 of the family's 1533-position model. The record is from RNAcentral.